GUUACAGAGAACCCCGAACAACCCAAACUGUUAAUCUUCAAUACCCUUUUGUACUUACGAUCUUGUAUCCACUGACUGUCUUGUUAGAUUAACCCAAUAAAUUUCAUUCACUCCGCAUACUCAAUCCUAUAGACACUCUUUUAAUCCUUCAAUCACAGACGUAACUCGAUUUCACAAAACAGUCAAGAGUAUUCAAACCCACUUCAUUUAAAAAUCCCGAUUCACCAUUACAACACUGACUUCAGCAGUGAUUGCCUCAGUCUUCCCCAAAACUCUACGUAGAAGAAAAA
This 290-nucleotide long non-coding RNA is filed under the name Physcomitrium patens. RNAcentral's name for it is "long non-coding RNA (PPAT_LNC006390)". The record is from RNAcentral. Lineage: Eukaryota; Viridiplantae; Streptophyta; Bryopsida; Funariales; Funariaceae.